RNAcentral lists this ribosomal RNA (417 nucleotides) under uncultured bacterium. RNAcentral's name for it is "bacterial SSU rRNA". It matches the Rfam family "Bacterial small subunit ribosomal RNA", at positions 954 to 1392 of the family's 1533-position model. The record is from RNAcentral.
GCACAACGCGAAGAACCUUACCAACCCUUGACAUGUGUAUCGCGGUUCCAGAGAUGGAUCCUUCAGUUCGGCUGGAUACAACACAGGUGCUGCAUGGCUGUCGUCAGCUCGUGUCGUGAGAUGUUCGGUUAAGUCCGGCAACGAGCGCAACCCACACUCUUAGUUGCCAGCAUUCAGUUGGGCACUCUAGGAGAACUGCCGAUGAUAAGUCGGAGGAAGGUGUGGAUGACGUCAAGUCCUCAUGGCCCUUACGGGUUGGGCUACACACGUGCUACAAUGGUAGUGACAAUGGGUUAAUCCCAAAAAGCUAUCUCAGUUCGGAUUGGGGUCUGCAACUCGACCCCAUGAAGUCGGAAUCGCUAGUAAUCGCGUAACAGCAUGACGCGGUGAAUACGUUCCCGGGUCUUGUACACACCG